GCCUGUGGCCAAAUCUCCCGGAAUGUGCCUGAUCUCAUCAGAUCUUGGAAGCUAAGCAUGGGUGAACCUGGAUAGUGCUUGAAUAGAUGAGGGGAGCAGAGGGCA
Molecule: ribosomal RNA, 105 nt
Filed under: Petromyzon marinus (sea lamprey)
Lineage: Eukaryota; Metazoa; Chordata; Hyperoartia; Petromyzontiformes; Petromyzontidae
Source: RNAcentral